GCCUUUUGGUUGUAAAGCACUUUAAGCGAGGAGGAGGCUACUUGGAUUAAUACUCUAGGAUAGUGGACGUUACUCGCAAAAUAAGCACCGGCUAACUCUGUGCCAGCAGCCGCGGUAAUACAGAGGGUGCGAGCGUUAAUCGGAUUUACUGGGCGUAAAGCGUGCGUAGGCGGCUUCUUAAGUCGGAUGUGAAAUCCCUGAGCUUAACUUAGGAAUUGCAUUCGAUACUGGGAAGCUAGAGUAUGGGAGAGGAUGGUAGAAUUCCAGGUGUAGCGGUGAAAUGCGUAGAGAUCUGGAGGAAUACCGAUGGCGAAGGCAGCCAUCUGGCCUAAUACUGACGCUGAGGUACGAAAGCAUGGGGAGCAAACAGGAUUAGAUACCCUGGUAGUCCAUGCCGUAAACGAUGUCUACUAGCCGUUGGGGCCUUUGAGGCUUUAGUGGCGCAGCUAACGCGAUAAGUAGACCGCCUGGGGAGUACGGUCGCAAGACUAAAACUCAAAUGAAUUGACGGGGGCCCGCACAAG
This 524-nucleotide ribosomal RNA is filed under the name uncultured bacterium. RNAcentral describes it as "bacterial SSU rRNA". It matches the Rfam family "Bacterial small subunit ribosomal RNA", at positions 414 to 929 of the family's 1533-position model. The record is from RNAcentral.